RNAcentral lists this non-coding RNA (81 nucleotides) under bovine gut metagenome. Its description in RNAcentral is "TPP riboswitch (THI element)". The stretch from base 3 to 73 matches the Rfam family "TPP riboswitch aptamer (THI element)", at positions 10 to 89 of the family's 105-position model. From Rfam's summary of the family: Vitamin B(1) in its active form thiamin pyrophosphate (TPP) is an essential coenzyme that is synthesised by coupling of pyrimidine and thiazole moieties in bacteria. The previously detected thiamin-regulatory element, thi box was extended, resulting in a new, highly conserved RNA secondary structure, the THI element, which is widely distributed in eubacteria and also occurs in some archaea. The record is from RNAcentral.
GGUAGGGGUGCCCUAAAAUGACGGGCUGAGAUCAUACCCAUAGACCUGAUCCGGGUAAUGCCGGCGUAGGGAAAGAGAAGA